AUGCAAGCGCAAUGGCAAAUUUAAAUGAUCUAUUUAUGUGGUUCCUCUUUUUGGACAGAGUAUAUAGCAGGCAGCUGUGACUUCAGCUGGGAGAUUUGCAGAGGCUCACCUGGACAAAUAAACCAGGAUUGUUUCUUAACAGGUUGGUAUUUGCAUAUUUUUAUAUAAAUCUUUGGUUAUCAUCUGUUUAAGUUAAAUCUUUAGUCUUCUUGUAUUUCUUAAGACAAGUAACAGAUGAGAUUUUUUUCGUAUAAACUAGUAUAAGAAAACUCUCCACCAUAAGAUUUUUGGAACUAUGAUUUUACAACGCUUUGUUGUAUAUAUGUACAGCAGGACAACAUUCUCAAUGAGAUUGCCAUGUGGCCAACUCUCAUUUCAGAUAAUAAAAUAUAUCUUCUGCCUUA
Molecule: long non-coding RNA, 404 nt
Organism: Manihot esculenta (cassava)
Lineage: Eukaryota; Viridiplantae; Streptophyta; Magnoliopsida; Malpighiales; Euphorbiaceae
Exons: 2
Source: RefSeq, a predicted model, not a curated record